RNAcentral lists this small RNA (87 nucleotides) under Eubacterium sp. CAG:156. RNAcentral describes it as "GA-cis RNA". It matches the Rfam family "GA-cis RNA". The record is from Rfam by way of RNAcentral. Lineage: Bacteria; Bacillati; Bacillota; Clostridia; Eubacteriales; Eubacteriaceae.
AUGAAAAUAAAUAAAAUGAAUGAAAUUCAUUUUUUAUAAAUGUUCUCAACAAAUAGCCGCCGACCGGAGGGAGGGGCAGUACAUCUU